UCGAGAAUCUUCCGCAAUGGGCGAAAGCCUGACGGAGCGACGCCGCGUGUAGGAUGAAGGCCCUCGGGUUGUAAACUACUGUCACGGGUUAUGAAUGUGCAUAUGUUAACAGCGUGUGUAUUGACGUAAGCCCGAAAGGAAGCACCGGCUAACUCUGUGCCAGCAGCCGCGGUAAUACAGAGGGUGCAAACGUUGUUCGGAAUUACUGGGCAUAAAGCGCGCGUAGGCGGCGACGUAAGUGUAGGGUGAAAUCCCACGGCUCACCCGUGUGAAUUGCCCCGCAUACUGCGUUGCUUGAGUGUGGUAGGGGAGAGCGGAACUCCUGGUGGAGCGGUGAAAUGCGUAGAUAUCAGGAGGAACACCGGUGGCGUAGGCGGCUCUCUGGUCCAUAACUGACGCUGAAGUGCGAAAGCUAGGGGAGCAAACAGGAUUAGAUACCCACGUAGUCCCUGAGCGGGCUGGCAAGGCGCAU
This 472-nucleotide ribosomal RNA is filed under the name uncultured bacterium. RNAcentral's name for it is "bacterial SSU rRNA". It matches the Rfam family "Bacterial small subunit ribosomal RNA", at positions 355 to 825 of the family's 1533-position model. The record is from RNAcentral.